This 71-nucleotide transfer RNA is filed under the name Tautonia sociabilis. It matches the Rfam family "tRNA". Rfam says of the family: Transfer RNA (tRNA) molecules are approximately 80 nucleotides in length. Their secondary structure includes four short double-helical elements and three loops (D, anti-codon, and T loops). The record is from Rfam by way of RNAcentral. Lineage: Bacteria; Pseudomonadati; Planctomycetota; Planctomycetia; Isosphaerales; Isosphaeraceae.
GUGUCCGUGGUGUAGCGGCAGCACCCGGGGUUGUGGGCCCCGAGGGGCGGGUUCGAAUCCCGUCGGACACC